RNAcentral lists this long non-coding RNA (544 nucleotides) under Homo sapiens (human). Its description in RNAcentral is "HSALNT0169874". Lineage: Eukaryota; Metazoa; Chordata; Mammalia; Primates; Hominidae. The record is from RNAcentral.
GGGAGGGUGGGGGGUGUAUGAAAGGUGAGGGAUGAGGGGAGGCUGCGGGAUGGAGGGAGGGUGGGGGAUGGAUGGAAGAUGCGGGUUAGAUGGAGUGUUUGGGAUGGAGGGAGGGUGGGGGAUGAAUGGAAAGUAUGAGAUGGAGGGAGGCUGUGGGAUGGAUGGAGGGUUUGGGGUGGAUGGAGGGUGUGGGAUGGAUGGAGGGUGAGGGAUGAAUGGAGGGUGGGGGCUGGGGGAGGGUGCAGGAUGGAUGGAGGGUGAAGGAUGGAUGGAGGGUGAGGGAUGGAGGGAGAGUGUGGGAUGGUGGGAGGCUGCCCAAUGGAGGGAGGAUGCUGGAUGGAUGGAGUGUUUGGGAUGGAUGGAGGAUGCGGGAUGGAUGGAAGGUGUGGGCUCUCGCAGGCUGAUAGGAGGGAAGCUAAUUUGCCUGAGCCUUUCUUCCACAGGACAGAGGGUGCAACAGGGCAUGUGGCCUCCCUGGGCACAACUUGCAGUGAGAAACCUCUGUUCCAAUCCUGAAAAACAUGGUCCCCCUCAUCCCUUAGGG